AAGUCGUAACAAGGUCUCCGUUGGUGAACCAGCGGAGGGAUCAUUACAGGACUCGCAAGACUCCUACAACCCUGUGAACCUACUAUACGAACGUUGCUUCGGCGGGUGCGCCCCGGGGAUUCGUUCCCGAGGCGCGUCAGCCCGCCGGCAGCCUACAAAUUCUGUUUCUUUGCGUUGGCAUCUCGAGAAAAAACAAAUAAGUUAAAACUUUCAACAACGGAUCUCUUGGUUCUG
This 234-nucleotide unclassified non-coding RNA is filed under the name Chloridium sp. RNAcentral describes it as "partial internal transcribed spacer region". The stretch from base 1 to 46 matches the Rfam family "Eukaryotic small subunit ribosomal RNA", at positions 1786 to 1831 of the family's 1831-position model. Lineage: Eukaryota; Fungi; Ascomycota; Sordariomycetes; Chaetosphaeriales; Chaetosphaeriaceae. RNAcentral also lists the same sequence under 1 other name. The record is from RNAcentral.